UCUUUAACCCAGCAACAAAGGUCAUAGAGAUACUUAUCGCAUUACCGUGUCCAUUCAGGAUGCUUGCGACUGUAAUGUUUCUUUAUUCCAGUAAUGCCUCGGAUGUUGCGGCUCCGUUGAUGCAGUUGGAGCUUUUGCCUUUUUUUUUUUUUUUUUAAUAAAAUUUUGUGAUCUAUAUUAUUGGCAAAUAGAGUUUGCACAGUAGAAGAGAAGUGUGUCCCAUAUACAGCAAUCCAAAAAUGAGCCAA
This 248-nucleotide long non-coding RNA is filed under the name Elaeis guineensis (African oil palm). RNAcentral's name for it is "long non-coding RNA (EGUI_LNC001008)". Lineage: Eukaryota; Viridiplantae; Streptophyta; Magnoliopsida; Arecales; Arecaceae. The record is from RNAcentral.